RNAcentral lists this long non-coding RNA (1406 nucleotides) under Homo sapiens (human). RNAcentral's name for it is "novel transcript". The record is from RNAcentral. Lineage: Eukaryota; Metazoa; Chordata; Mammalia; Primates; Hominidae.
CCCGGAUUCACACCAUUCUCCUGCCUCAGCCUCCCGAGCAGCUGGAACUACAGGCGCCCGCCACCAAGCCCGGCUAAUUUUUUUGUAUUUUUAGUAGAGACGGGGUUUCACCGUGUUAACCAGGAUGGUCUCCAUCUCCUGACCUCGUGAUCCGCCUGCCUCGGCCUCCCAAAGUGCUGGGAUUACAGGCGUGAGCCACCGCGCCCAGCCGCUUCAACAUUUUAAAGUACUUUGAAGGGUCCCUCCUUCUGGAUUGAUAAGGGUGGGAACAUUCAAGCUACCGAUAAGACCUCUGCACCCAGCUCCUGUCCCUCCACUCCCUACGGCUCAGCUUUGAAGUUCCAAAAACCCUGCCUCUGUGACCUGAUUGUGUUAUCUUCAUAACCAAGCUCAUGUUGCAUGUGGAUGGCUGCAGCUCAGCAGCUGUAGAAUCUGCACCACCUGUCUUAUGCUGAGAUCCAGCCUGGAGGAACACCCCUCUGUGGAAUGUGGCACUCUCUUGGCAGAAAGAGCAAGAAAGCAGGCAGAAACUCAUGAAGACUCUUAAAGGCUUCUGCUUGGGCACGGGGUGGGAAAUGUUUAGAUUCAAAGUGGACAUUAGACCCAGUGGCCCAGCUGGAAUCAGGAGGUGUGGAUGGAUGACACCCUUACCGUCCAACUCAUUAACUUUCUGUAUCUCUGUGAGCCAAGAAUCUUGACUUUUCAGGAGGUGACAAUCGGACAUGAUACUUGCAGUAAGAGAGAGGUGCUGACCUAAAGCAGAAAGAUUUUUCAGCUCUGAACCCUUCAGUCUAUUAAUGUCUACACCACCUGUUAAAUGAGAUGAUCAAAUGCCUUCUAUGGUGUCAGCCUCUCUAUGUCAAGGUUUCCAUUAAUCUUAAAGCAAUGCUAAAGAGUUCACCACUGCACCACUGCCUCCUUUGCCUGAUUCCCCUGAUGCCUUUUGUUCCCCCCAUUUUUGGCCACAACUAACCAUUCAGUCAUUCAACAAAUCCCUCUUGGGCACCUCCUCUGUGCCAGACACGAUGCUAAGCAUUGGGAGUAAAUGAAGAAUAAAAUGCAGACUAAACCCUCAGAGCAUCCCCCAGCUAGUAGAAGAGACAGGCAAAUAAAGUGAUUGUUACAGAAUCAUAAUCUCACUGCAUUGGGAAGUCUGAGAGGCCUGAGGUCAAGUCUCAGCGUUACUAUUUAUUACCUGUGUCAUCCUGGGAAAAUCUGCAUUUGAUUUCUCAUCAAUAAAAUAAGGAUAAAGUUCCCUAUCAAAUAGGGUUUGGGUGAGGAUUAGCAAGGUAAUGUACAGGACUUGGCACAUUAUUGAAUGUAGAUGGUAAUAAUGUAUUGUAUAUUUCAAAAUACCUAAGAGUACAUUUUAAAUGUUUCACUAUAAAAAAUGAUAGUUAAACAAG